Molecule: transfer RNA, 91 nt
Filed under: Amycolatopsis acidiphila
Lineage: Bacteria; Bacillati; Actinomycetota; Actinomycetes; Pseudonocardiales; Pseudonocardiaceae
Description: tRNA-Ala
Source: RNAcentral
CGGUCGGCCAGCGUGUUGAUCAUGCGGAGGUUCGCCUCUUCCGGCGGGCACGGGUACGUCGAGGUGGCGUGCAGCAGCACCAGCCGCUCGG